Molecule: ribosomal RNA, 696 nt
Filed under: uncultured bacterium
Lineage: Bacteria
Description: bacterial SSU rRNA
Rfam family: Bacterial small subunit ribosomal RNA
Source: RNAcentral
GGGAUAACAGUUAGAAAUGACUGCUAAUACCGCAUAAGCGCACAGGAUUGCAUGAUCUGGUGUGAAAAACUCCGGUGGUAUAAGAUGGACCCGCGUCUGAUUAGCUGGUUGGUGAGGUAACGGCCCACCAAGGCGACGAUCAGUAGCCGACCUGAGAGGGUGACCGGCCACAUUGGGACUGAGACACGGCCCAAACUCCUACGGGAGGCAGCAGUGGGGAAUAUUGCACAAUGGGGGAAACCCUGAUGCAGCGACGCCGCGUGAGCGAAGAAGUAUUUCGGUAUGUAAAGCUCUAUCAGCAGGGAAGAAAAAAAUGACGGUACCUGACUAAGAAGCCCCGGCUAACUACGUGCCAGCAGCCGCGGUAAUACGUAGGGGGCAAGCGUUAUCCGGAUUUACUGGGUGUAAAGGGAGCGCAGGCGGUGCGGCAAGUCUGAUGUGAAAGCCCGGGGCUCAACCCCGGGACUGCAUUGGAAACUGUCGUACUUGAGUAUCGGAGAGGUAAGUGGAAUUCCUAGUGUAGCGGUGAAAUGCGUAGAUAUUAGGAGGAACACCAGUGGCGAAGGCGGCUUACUGGACGAUAACUGACGCUGAGGCUCGAAAGCGUGGGGAGCAAACAGGAUUAGAUACCCUGGUAGUCCACGCCGUAAACGAUGAAAACUAGGUGUCGGGGGACAUAGUCCUUCGGUGCCGCAG